UCCUCAGAGAAGCCCCAGAGCACAGCUCGUCACCAUGGACUGGACCUGGAGAAUCCUCGUCUUGGUGGCAGCAGCAACAGGUGCCCACUCCCAGGUGCAGCUGGUACAGUCUGGGCCUGAGGUGAAGAAGCCUGGGGCCUCCGUGAAGGUCUCCUGCAAGGCUUCUGGAUACACCUUCACCAGCUAUAUUAUCAGCUGGGUGCGACCAGGCCCCUGGACAAGGGCUCCAGUGGAUGGGAUGGAUCUACCCUGGUAAUGGUAACACAAAGUACACACAGAAGUUCCAGGGCAGAGUCACCAUGACCGCGGACAAGUCCACGAGCACAGCCUACAUGGAGCUGAGCAGCCUGAGACAUGAGGACACGGCCGUGUAUUACUGUGCGAGAGACACAGUGUGAAAACCACAUCCUGAGAGUGUCAGAAAUCCCAGGGAG
Non-coding RNA from Callithrix jacchus (white-tufted-ear marmoset), 434 nucleotides. The record is from RefSeq and is a predicted model, not a curated record. NCBI's taxonomy places the organism in Eukaryota, Metazoa, Chordata, Mammalia, Primates, Cebidae.